CAGGGGGUAUUUUAUUUAAAAUGUUAAUUUUGGGGAUUAGUGAAAUGGUAUUGAUACCUUUCCUCUGA
Molecule: transfer RNA, 68 nt
Filed under: Nasutitermes sp. 3 MLW-2023a
Lineage: Eukaryota; Metazoa; Arthropoda; Insecta; Blattodea; Termitidae
Description: tRNA-Pro
Source: RNAcentral